This is a long non-coding RNA of Gasterosteus aculeatus aculeatus (three-spined stickleback), 2151 nucleotides long. The record is from Ensembl. NCBI's taxonomy places the organism in Eukaryota, Metazoa, Chordata, Actinopteri, Perciformes, Gasterosteidae.
AUUUUUCUUAAAAACACGUGUUGAAGUGGCGUGUCUCCUACUUGGUUCAACUUGAAGUUGCUACAGCCUGGAGACUGAAGUCAACGUCGAGUAACACCGUUUAGAUAUCUUGACCAGAGCAUUACCGGUUAUCUUCACCCAAGAGACCUACUGUUGGACAUUCUUUUUGGAUUUAAAGGUAAACACAUUGUUAGUCACAAUGUCUAGUUACUGGGCCAAAAGGAGAAGAAUAUUGAAAGGAGUCAAGAGGGAUAAAAAGGAUAUUGCGGCUACAAACAAUGCUCUACUACUCUCUUUUUUCUGACUUUGACCAAGUAACUCCCCAUGUUAAUGAACAUCUACAUGGAAUGGCUACAACAAACCAUGUACAAACUGUAACCCCUGUAGCACAGGAAAUAAUUGUUGAUGAGGCAUGUGAAGCUGGUGAGAUGUUUUCCUCAAGCACAGAAGAUGAUGAAGAGGAAGAGGAUUGCCUAAGGACACAAUUGGCAGGGUGGGCUAUUGACAACAUGAUCCACCAUGUGGCACUUGAACAAGGUUUCUCACCAGUGGUCCAGUCUCCACUUCUAAGAGCCAAGAGUUUGAGUAAAACUGGAGGAGAACCAAGCCUGCUGGAGGGGAAGCAAUGCACGAGCAGCUUGAUAACUGCAGCUCACUUCAAGAUCAGUUGAAGCAAGUUGGGACAAUGAUGAAGACCUUUGCUCGCACAAGGCAAUCAGGCGCAGAUCAGACCCUAAUGCUGCGACGUCUUGGGAGAGUUUGGCGAUGUUGUGCGUAGCAUGGAAAACAAAAUGGACACAUUGCUGCAACAUUUCAGUGCCAAUGUGUCUGUUGGAGAGUUAUCCCUGCCCAGUGGUCUUUUACUCCCCAUAAACACCCAGGAAGAUUUGGCGUUGCUUGACAGCAGCUUGAGGCAGGAUAGCGAGCUCCAGGAACGAUUUGUAAGUGUGCUGCUAUUGUUUCUAACGCUGUAGGUUCUAAAGUCAAAUUAAGAUUGUACACUGCAUAUUCGACAGUCUGAAUUCACAGCCUGUCACAUUUGAUAUUUAUGUAUGAGAAGCUUCAGCGAAAUGUAAUAUGGAGCACUUUUGGGGAUUUUCAGCUUUUUUGGCCAUCAAAUGUGGGAAGGACCUGAAGACAACUGUGUAGAGAAUGCUUCAGAGUAUCUUCUCAAAUCGCCUUUCAAUUUCUACAACUUGGACUAGGGGCUAAAGCUUGUUUUAAAGACCUGUUCCUGAAGACCAUUGUUCAAAGUAAAGCGGUAAAGCUGCCUUUGUUAUAACUGUGGCGGAACGGCGGUUGACCUGCUGUCCGUCCGCGAAAGAAAGGCGGUCCGCCGGCGGCGAUUACGCCAUUCUGCCGCUGCUACGAUCUCUGGCGAACCGCUGGCGGCCCGCCGACUCAUUGCUAUCUGGGACGGGGCUUCAAAAGGACGUAUGACAUCACCUCGCAUUACCAAGGCUAGCAAAGGCCUAGUUUAUGCUUCUGCGUUUUCAGAGAGACGCAAGGACACGCAGACGCAAGACCCCCUUGCGUGUCCCUUGCGUGCCUUUUCACUCCUCCUUGCGUGCGUCAACCCAUUUUUCUACGCAAGCCUCCCGCAGCGCACAAGGCUGCGAUUGGUCUGCUAUCUACAUCCUUAACGGAGUCUCACAUUUCUGGUUUCAUAGCACAAUACCGCCAUUAUUAAAGUGGAGAAUGUUUACGAGAGAACGGAUCAGAUUGAAGAGCUUUUGUCAGAAGAAAUGCGUAAAUAUGACCGCUUCUAUAUCCCGUCAUUGGCGGACUAUAAGGAAGCGCUGAUGGUCUCUGAUUCAUGGAGAGAGAUCUCCGCAAACGUCGGUUUGCCGGUUGAGAGGUGCACAAAGUUGUGGGGGAAAAUACGGGACAAAUGUGUCCGUGAUGAAAAGCAGCAGUGUCGAUGCACGGGGCAAUAAAGUCUAUGAUAAAUAAAUAAACAAAUAAAUAAAUAGACGUGACUCUCUAGGUCGUCUUGGACAAAAACACGUCACUCCGCCUGUUGUUCUGGCGGUGAAUUGCUCUGCAACACACGCAAGACUUUUAGAACCGUGAAUUGAAACGAGUGCGUCGACACAACGGUGCGUAAAGACGCAGAAGCAUGCGCCAGCCUUAAGUAAAAGUAUGUGAGUA